This is a long non-coding RNA of Gymnodraco acuticeps, 912 nucleotides long. RefSeq lists it as uncharacterized. Lineage: Eukaryota; Metazoa; Chordata; Actinopteri; Perciformes; Bathydraconidae. The record is from RefSeq and is a predicted model, not a curated record. The transcript is spliced from 4 exons.
CGCUCUCUUUUCCUUCACCCCCGGCAACCCGAGAACACAACCAUAGAGGCUUCUCAAUACUCAAAUGUCCCCUCCUCGACUCCUCGGUCCUCCGGUAGUGACCCGGAAAUGAAUUUCAGCGCGCCAUUUUGAAGGACAUCUCAUUUCUCGAAAUGCACACCGAGGAUCGAGCGUCGAGGAGGCUCUCUGGAGGAGCUAUAACCGAGGAUACACUGAUGGUUCCUCCACGGCUCCUCCGCGGAUGCAUUUCCGGGAACGGUGGAGUAUAAAAGAGGCGUGACACACCGCUGGAUUCAUUUAAAAACCAUGGCGGGAGCAAAGCACACGUGGACAGAGGAGGAAACACUGACCCUUAUUAAAGUGAGGGUCGAGAAUGACGAGCUUUUCACAGGCCGAAGGCACACUGCCAAGAAAGCCUGGGAGGAAAUUCUAAACAACAUCUGUCCAGGGACUACAGACGAAAAAUAGCCUGUUGGCUAACUCUGGCGCAUUUACAGAAAUGUCAAUCAAUGUGCACUGUCCCUGCCAAAUAAAUAUAUAAAUAAAUAAAUAAAUAAAGGCCCUUGGGCUAUUCGGUUCUGUAAGCCCCACACAGAUCAGCAAAAAGUGGGACAACUUGAAACGAAAAUACAAGGAGUUGAGAUGCCCCCCAACUGGGACAGGGACCGACAGGGGAGAGGCCACAGCAGCCACAUGGCCAUAUUUUACGGCCAUGCAUGAGGCCAUCGAUGGGAGGCCAUCCAUCGACCCUCCCACCCUGAUGGACUCGGCUGCUGUUGCUUCUGGCAGUGGCUCAACAUCCACUGAGGCUGUCCAGAGCCAGGCCACAGUGGAGGAUGAGGAGGCCGCCAAGUCUGGCUCGGACAGCCAGGAGGAUGUUGAGCCAUCCACCUCUGCCGGUCCCCCUCCCCG